CGACUGCGACAGGACUCGAACCUGCAAUCCUCAGAUCCGAAGUCUGAUGCCUUAUCCAUUAGGCCCGCGGCC
Molecule: transfer RNA, 72 nt
Filed under: Caligus rogercresseyi
Lineage: Eukaryota; Metazoa; Arthropoda; Copepoda; Siphonostomatoida; Caligidae
Description: tRNA-Arg
Source: RNAcentral